UCCCCCAGGCAGAUUCUCAAGCUCCCCAGAGUUGCCUUCUCCUAGGCCACUCCCCUUGCUGCAAUAGCUGGUUUUGGGCAGAAAGGAGGGUGCCGCACAUCCCGCCCAACUCCUCUUUCCAGAACAAAACUGCAACCCAAACCUCAGCUCCAACAUCUUCCAUCUGAAGCAAGAUGGCUAGAAUGGACAGAAUGCUUCACUGUAAAAGGAAACAGUGUUCCAGGUCAAACUAAGUCUGCAAACAAACCCUCACAAUGGUUCUGAAAGGCAUCCGGACAAGUCUUAUCAUGUGGCUUUCCCACACCUUGAUUCCAUGUUUGCUCACAGAUGGAGUGGCAGCUCUACCUGCCCCUCAGAACCUCUCUGUACACUCAACCAACAUGAAGCACCUAUUGAUGUGGAGCCCUGUGGUCCUGCCCGAAGAAACAGUAUACUAUUCCGUCGAGUACCAGGGUGAGUAUGAGAGCUUGUACACAAGUGACAUCUGGAUUCCCAGCAAAUGGUGCUCACGCACUGAAGGUCCUGAGUGUGACGUCACUGAUGACAUCACGGCCACAGUGCCCUACAGCCUCCGUGUUAGGGCAAUCUUGGGCUCACAGACUUCAGCCUGGAGCAUCCUGGAACAGCCCUUCAAUCGAAACUCAACCAUCCUUACCCCGCCUGGCAUGGAGAUCUCCAAGGAUGGCUUCCAUCUGGUUAUUGAGCUGGAAGACCUGGGACCCCAGUUCCAGUUCCUUGUGGCCUACUGGAGGAGGGAGCCGGACACCAAGGAACAUGCCAAAGUGGUGAGGAAGGGGGGCAUUCCUGUGCACCUGGAAACCAUGGAGCCAGGGGCGCCGUACUGCGUAAAGGCCCAGGCGCUGGUGAAGGCCAUUGGGAGGCACAGUGCCUUCAGCCAGACAAAGUGCGUGGAGGUACAAGGAGAGGCUCUCCCCCUGGUGCUGGCCCUGUUUGCCUUCUUUGGCUUCAUGCUGAUCCUCGUGGUUGUGCCAUUGUCCGUCUGGAAGAUGGGCCAGCUGCUUCAAUACUCCUGUUGCCCCAUGGUGGUCCUCCCAGACACCUUGAAAAUAACCAACUCACCGCAGAAGUUAAUCAGCUGCAGAAGGGAAGAGGUGGACGUCUGUGCCACGGCCAUGCUGUCUUCUGGACUUGGAUCUAGUGGCCUUGGGAAAGGGCCCACUUGUCAGGAGCUGACAGCCUGGUCUGCAGGACACAGAACUCAUGAGAUUGUCAUUGUGGCCCAUUGGCACUGGGGGAACUGUAGGAGGGGAGUGGCCCAGGCUGCUUCUGCUGCUUCAGUGAAGAUGUUCCCUGUGGCCUGUGCUGUUGUCGACUCAGAAGCUUCCCUGGAAACAAGCCUGGCUUUCUUAUCCUGACUUCAGAGAACAACACCAGGGUCCAGUGAGCAAAUCCUUGCUCCAUGAGGCUGAUGAUCCAAUGGGGGUGAUUUUCUGUGGGUGCAGAUCUCUCGGAUUCCUUGGAAUCUCUCAUUGCCCAGAUCCGGUCCACAGCUUCAGGAGCCAACCAGGACUGGAGCCCCUCAUUGUGUUCACGGGUGUCUGGCGCCACCUUUUGGUGGGUUCUGGAAAAUUCCUUCUGCUCCCGCUUGCAGCGCCCUAGGCUUCCUGGGCGAGGGAACGGAAAGCUCAACCCAGUUUCCCAGAACAAGAACUCAGCUGGAAAAAGUCCUGGGGCUCGGCCCGGAAGAAGCCGCCACUGUCCCUAGUGGACUUGGACGUCGGCGUCUGUGUGCUCGCUAGAAGUCUCGCGUAUCCGCGGCUGUGUCAUCUUCCCUGUGCGCCCCACUGGGCUGUGGCCUCUGCCUCGCUUCCCGCCUUCUCCUUUUUUGGGUGUUGCUGUUAAAAAGACUUAUUUUGAUGCGCCUAUUUUUCCUUGUCCAAUUUCCAGCCUACCCCUGGGCCAGACUGACUUUCUGAGGGUCCCUUCAGGCCGCUGUUCAGUAGGGGGAGCCCCCUGCCACCCCACUCCCGCUAAACACGGGUGACCAGCCUGUGCAGCCGGGGCCUGGACCGUCGGAGUGGACCCCAGACCAUCCUCUGUGGCUGGCUCCUGGGAUGCAGAGGUCCUGAAGCUCCUGACAAAGCAACCCCGAAAAGCCGUCCCUGCGGGAGGAGGAGCAGCAGCUCACAGAGGGAGGCGCAGCUCUUUGGUCCUGGCCUCGCUCAGCCCAAGGGUACAGGCGGGGAGAGGCUGCCAACCCCAGUGAGGACUGGGGGAAACCCGAGCCCAAGCCCCUCAGCCGCCUGGAGGUCGGAAGUACGAGCCUAGUACUGUGGUGGAGACGCCUGUUUCUGGUCCCACUACUGGACCUCAUUGAUGGAAAUUUAAAAAGCUACCUAGCGGCGCUGGGGAUUUAGCUCAGCGGCAAAGCGCCUGCCUGGCAAGCGCAAGGU
Chinchilla lanigera (long-tailed chinchilla) is the source of this 2414-nucleotide RNA transcript. It is a transcript of the gene named interleukin 20 receptor beta, with no coding region annotated. The transcript is spliced from 9 exons. The record is from RefSeq and is a predicted model, not a curated record. Lineage: Eukaryota; Metazoa; Chordata; Mammalia; Rodentia; Chinchillidae.